GGAGUAGUCUCCCUUAACUCGGAACAACCCGCCGCUGACAACAAACUGGCGUAGAUAUGCAGUCUUGUCUUCAUGUUUCAUGGAUCUAGUCAUCUGAUCUACUACUACACAAGGUUGGCUGACAAGAAGAUCCUUUUGCCUGUUUGCUUCUGAUCCUAGGACUUUUACUUCCAUGAUUUAAUCAAUAUGACUAAAAAGUCCUGUAGGAAAACGGAGUACCAGAAGCAGUAUAGGAAGUCUACACUAAUUCAGAAUAUUCCCUGCUUUGUUGAAAAUAAAAACUAUCGACUUGCUAGAAAAGAAGCUGAGUAUCUUCACACACCAUUCCUAUGGGACAAUUCAAGCUCAUCAUCCAGCUCGGAGAGUGAUAUUUGUGAUCAGAACCAAGUUCACUUUCAAGAUGCUGAAAUUCAACAAGCAAAGAAAGUUGUUGAUUUCUGCUGUCAGACACAGCCAUUAAACCGUGGACCAGAUGAUGUUGCAAGUAAGAAGAAGUGUAAUGGAAUGGGAAGUACACAUGUUCUGAAAGACAAAGAAGAUUUAUGUAGUCUUGAUGCCAAAGCACAACAGUCAUAUUCCAGGAAUCCAGUAAACAAAUCAAAAGGAAAAACAUACACAAUAAAAUCGUGUCGACCAUCAUGUCCAUACAAAUAUAACUCAGCCAAACCUCAGCCCAAAUCCAGACCCACGUCAGCAUCCCAAAAAUCCCCAUUUCAUUUAUUUGGCUGGGCUGACAAGGAGGUUGACCUGGCCCGACACAGAACAUACAACGUCUUGAGCAAUAAAGAUGUGAGUCUCAUAUAGUGAGCUAAUGUACAUGAAGUCAUUGUCUUAUGUGUAUCCAUCAGCUGUAAUAGCCGCUAAGCGUCGACUUACAAGACAAAAAGAUACAUUUACUGUGGAGCAAUGCAAGAAGAAACAACCGCUUGAAGACAUCUUGUCACAAACAUGGGAUUGCCCAUGUAAAUGGGAAACAGAGUACUCUGCUCAUUACAAAUAUUAUCCUUUAUGAUUUUGAUGUCUCUUGCUAACAAUGUUUUUAGCAUUCAAUGUAAAGCUUUUUAAAAAUAAUUUAAAAUUUUUAAUAGCAUUUAUGAGUCGCUUAUUGAUGUAAAUUUAGGAAAGUGCUCUCCCAGCUGAAGAGAAUUUUAUUCAACUGGGGUUUAUUAAAACUAAUGAUGUUAUGCUGCAGGUGCAAAAAUAACAGGUUGAUUGAAAUAUUUUCACUCACAUCACUCUUGAGCUUUUGCAUGUGUUUCUUGAAAUGUUAUAAUAAUGCACACCCCUUUGCUGUAUGAAGGCAGAAUAUUUAUACAAAUAUGUGAUAGAAUGUUUGCAUUUUCAUAUUGUCUGAUGGAUCAACCUAAAAAAAAUUACGUCUUGGCAGUUGCUGGCAAUUAGAGAACAUGUUUAUUUUAUCAAAGCCAGUUAUGUGCCUGUGCCGGCCACCAGCACAUAUACCUAAAGCCUUAAAAAAUGAAUUCAUUUCAAGCUGUAUGCUCAAUCUUUUACAAGCUAAAAAUUGAAGUGCAAAACCUGUAUGGCCACAGUGAAUUUCAUAAAAAAUGUCUUGAGAAGGUAUUGCUAAAUGUGUUAUUAUAUAUGAAAUAAGACAUAAACACAAAAAGCAGAGUACAUGCUCCACACUCAGAUGGGUUGGCAGUAGUAAAUCAUGGUCUUUGAAUGUGCAUUUAAGCAUGAUUCCAAUCUUUCACAAUACCAUUGUGAAUAGACUUGAUAAAAAGUUUAUCUUGAACAGCAAAUGUUACCUUAAUGUGCCCGCGAUUUCCCCCGUUUGUAACCAUGGAAACCUUUUGGUGUGAGCACCUCUGUCCCAAAAAAAGAUAAUGAAUGGAGAGGACAAACUUUUAAGCAUAUAAAGAAAUCAAUAAACAUCCAUUCACCAAUCAUCUCCAUCCUUUUGUGUGUCACAAGAAGAGAUUGAGCAAACAUUUUGAAGAUGCAGUGGUAUACGAUUAGCAAUCUAUUUUAAGUUUGCCAGAGUGCUUUAUGAAGCAUGCUGAAAGGUUAGUAAAGCUUCAGUGCCUGAUACAAUAGAUUUCCCUCAUUAUGGAUGUAUUUGGUAAUGCUACAAAUCUGAUUUUAAUUCUUUUUCACUUGAACCAGUAAUGCCUGUCUGUUACAUUUGGUUCAAUGAGAAAUGCAAGUACUGGAAAAUACAUAAAAUUGCAAACACUAA
RNAcentral lists this unclassified non-coding RNA (2200 nucleotides) under Pomacea canaliculata. RNAcentral's name for it is "centriole, cilia and spindle-associated protein-like, transcript variant X1". Lineage: Eukaryota; Metazoa; Mollusca; Gastropoda; Architaenioglossa; Ampullariidae. The record is from RNAcentral.